Molecule: ribosomal RNA, 519 nt
Filed under: uncultured bacterium
Lineage: Bacteria
Description: bacterial SSU rRNA
Rfam family: Bacterial small subunit ribosomal RNA
Source: RNAcentral
GGACGAACGCUGGCGGCGUGCCUAAUACAUGCAAGUCGAACGGUCUUUCUAUGGAAGCUUGCUUCCACUGAGAAGAUAGUGGCGAACGGGUGAGUAACACGUGGGUAACCUGCCCAUAAGAGGGGGAUAACAUCCGGAAACGGGUGCUAAUACCGCAUAGUUUCUUGAUCGCAUGAUCGGGAAAGGAAAGACGGCCUUUGUGCUGUCGCUUAUGGACGGACCCGCGGCGUAUUAGUUAGUUGGUGAGGUAACGGCUCACCAAGACGAUGAUACGUAGCCGACCUGAGAGGGUGAUCGGCCACAUUGGGACUGAGACACGGCCCAAACUCCUACGGGAGGCAGCAGUAGGGAAUCUUCCGCAAUGGACGAAAGUCUGACGGAGCAACGCCGCGUGAGUGAAGAAAAGGGUUUUCGGAUCGUAAAACUCUGUUGUCAGAGAAGAACAAGUUGGAGAGUAACUGCUCCAGCCUUGACGGUAUCUGACCAGAAAGCCACGGCUAACUACGUGCCAGCAGCGGC